Molecule: long non-coding RNA, 374 nt
Organism: Limulus polyphemus (Atlantic horseshoe crab)
Lineage: Eukaryota; Metazoa; Arthropoda; Merostomata; Xiphosura; Limulidae
Exons: 3
Source: RefSeq, a predicted model, not a curated record
AUUUUAAUCAUUAUAAGGGUGGAGUGAAAGUGCUGAUCACAGGACCAUGGAAUUCAGGAACUUCCAUAUAUACAGCCAUAUUUGAUGGUGUUAGUGCCCCCACAACCUUGGUACAAAAUGGAGUUCUCCGCUGCUUUUGCCCAGCUCAUGAAUCUGGCAUGGUGACUCUACAAGUGGCUUGCCAGGGCAUUGUAGUUUCCAACUCUGUUGCAUUUGAAUAUCGUAAAAGAAGCAUGGUGUGUGUCAUUAAUGAACAGGACUGGUUUUCUGUGGAUGAGCGCGUGUUAAAAUUUUCUCUGUUGGAAAGGCUUGAAAUGAUGGAGACAAAAAUGAUCUUCGAAUUACAGGAGCCAGCAGAAUUUUUUACACAAGUA